This 323-nucleotide ribosomal RNA is filed under the name Imbricatea sp. RNAcentral's name for it is "SSU rRNA". The stretch from base 105 to 323 matches the Rfam family "Eukaryotic small subunit ribosomal RNA", at positions 736 to 955 of the family's 1831-position model. The record is from RNAcentral. Lineage: Eukaryota; Cercozoa; Imbricatea.
GAUUUCUGGUUCGAUGUGCCUGGCCCGCCGGGGUUACCCGCGUGAGUGCCGGUGCGCAUCAGCCAUCCUUCUAGAAAACGGCCUUACUCUUCACUGAGCCGAGGUCGCGAUCUAGAUCUUUUACUUUGAAAAAAUUAGAGUGUUUAAAGCAGGCUUACGCUAUGAAUACAUUAGCAUGGAAUAAUAAUUUAGGACUUCGGUCUCUAUUUUGUUGGUUUCUAGAGCUGAAGUAAUGAUUGAUAGGGAUAGUUGGGGGUGCUAGUAUUCAGCGGCCAGAGGUGAAAUUCUUGGAUUCGCUGAAGACUAACUUAUGCGAAAGCAUU